UGUAUUUUAAAACACGGACGGUUUGUUCAAUAGAUUCCCCUUAACUAGACAAGCCUGAAAACUUGUAAAAUAAUAUUUAACAAUCAUUUUUGAAUUAAUACUAUACUACUACUAUAUAGCCGUAGAGAAAUUUCGCUCUGCAAACAAUGUUUAAAUAUGAACACUUCAUCUCCAGUGCCCUUCAAUAUAUAAGAGAUUACUUUUAAGUGCAGCGUGGUUGAAAUAAUCACUGGAUUGCAUAUUGACACCUAUAUUUUUACUUACGUGCUC
Cinara cedri is the source of this 270-nucleotide non-coding RNA. Lineage: Eukaryota; Metazoa; Arthropoda; Insecta; Hemiptera; Aphididae. The record is from the annotation of a GenBank genome assembly.